This 450-nucleotide ribosomal RNA is filed under the name uncultured bacterium. Its description in RNAcentral is "partial 16S ribosomal RNA". It matches the Rfam family "Bacterial small subunit ribosomal RNA", at positions 354 to 796 of the family's 1533-position model. The record is from RNAcentral.
GUGGGGAAUAUUGGACAAUGGGGGGAACCCUGAUCCAGCCAUGCCGCGUGUGUGAAGAAGGUCUUCGGAUUGUAAAGCACUUUAAGUUGGGAGGAAGGGCAGUAAGUUAAUACCUUGCUGUUUUGACGUUACCGACAGAAUAAGCACCGGCUAACUUCGUGCCAGCAGCCGCGGUAAUACGAAGGGUGCAAGCGUUAAUCGGAAUUACUGGGCGUAAAGCGCGCGUAGGUGGUUCGUUAAGUUGGAUGUGAAAGCCCCGGGCUCAACCUGGGAACUGCAUCCAAAACUGGCGAGCUAGAGUACGGUAGAGGGUGGUGGAAUUUCCUGUGUAGCGGUGAAAUGCGUAGAUAUAGGAAGGAACACCAGUGGCGAAGGCGACCACCUGGACUGAUACUGACACUGAGGUGCGAAAGCGUGGGGAGCAAACAGGAUUAGAUACCCCUGUAGUCC